GACGAACGCUGGCGGCGUGCUUAACACAUGCAAGUCGAACGGAAAGGCCCUGCUUGCAGGGUACUCGAGUGGCGAACGGGUGAGUAACACGUGGGUGAUCGGCCCUGCACUUCGGGAUAAGCCUGGGAAACUGGGUCUAAUACCGGAUAGGAGCCAUUUUUAGUGUGAUGGUUGGAAAGUUUUUUCGGUGUAGGAUGAGCUCGCGGCCUAUCAGCUUGUUGGUGGGGUAAUGGCCUACCAAGGCGGCGACGGGUAGCCGGCCUGAGAGGGUGGACGGCCACAUUGGGACUGAGAUACGGCCCAGACUCCUACGGGAGGCAGCAGUGGGGAAUAUUGCACAAUGGGCGCAAGCCUGAUGCAGCGACGCCGCGUGGGGGAUGACGGCCUUCGGGUUGUAAACUCCUUUCGCUAGGGACGAAGCUUUUUGUGACGGUACCUAGAGAAGAAGCACCGGCUAACUACGUG
Molecule: ribosomal RNA, 465 nt
Filed under: uncultured bacterium
Lineage: Bacteria
Description: partial 16S ribosomal RNA
Rfam family: Bacterial small subunit ribosomal RNA
Source: RNAcentral